GAUCCUGGCUCAGGAUGAACGCUGGCGGCGUGCUUAACACAUGCAAGUCGAACGAAGCACUUUAACCUGAUUCUUCGGGAUGAAGGUUUUUUGUGACUGGGUGGCGGACGGGUGAGUAACGCGUGGGUAACCUGCCUCAUACAGGGGGGAUAACAGUUAGAAAUGACUGCUAAUACCGCAUAAGACCACGGAGCCGCAUGGCUCAGUGGGAAAAAACUCCGGUGGUAUGAGAUGGACCCGCGU
Molecule: ribosomal RNA, 243 nt
Filed under: uncultured bacterium
Lineage: Bacteria
Description: partial 16S ribosomal RNA
Rfam family: Bacterial small subunit ribosomal RNA
Source: RNAcentral